RNAcentral lists this transfer RNA (26 nucleotides) under Eurylepis taeniolata (Alpine Punjab skink). RNAcentral describes it as "partial tRNA-Leu". The record is from RNAcentral. Lineage: Eukaryota; Metazoa; Chordata; Lepidosauria; Squamata; Scincidae.
ACUUUCAAAGGAUCAUAGUCUAAUCC